Molecule: ribosomal RNA, 537 nt
Filed under: uncultured Bacillota bacterium
Lineage: Bacteria; Bacillati; Bacillota
Description: bacterial SSU rRNA
Rfam family: Bacterial small subunit ribosomal RNA
Source: RNAcentral
CGAACGCUGGCGGCGCGCCUAACACAUGCAAGUCGAACGAGCGAGAGAGAGCUUGCUUUCUCGAGCGAGUGGCGAACGGGUGAGUAACGCGUGAGGAACCUGCCUCAAAGAGGGGGACAACAGUUGGAAACGACUGCUAAUACCGCAUAAGCCCACGGCUCGGCAUCGAGCAGAGGGAAAAGGAGCAAUCCGCUUUGAGAUGGCCUCGCGUCCGAUUAGCUAGUUGGUGAGGUAAUGGCCCACCAAGGCGACGAUCGGUAGCCGGACUGAGAGGUUGAACGGCCACAUUGGGACUGAGACACGGCCCAGACUCCUACGGGAGGCAGCAGUGGGGAAUAUUGCACAAUGGGGGAAACCCUGAUGCAGCGACGCCGCGUGGAGGAAGAAGGUCUUCGGAUUGUAAACUCCUGUUGUUGGGGAAGAUAAUGACGGUACCCAACAAGGAAGUGACGGCUAACUACGUGCCAGCAGCCGCGGUAAAACGUAGGUCACAAGCGUUGUCCGGAAUUACUGGGUGUAAAGGGAGCGCAGGCGGGA